RNAcentral lists this ribosomal RNA (487 nucleotides) under uncultured bacterium. RNAcentral's name for it is "bacterial SSU rRNA". It matches the Rfam family "Bacterial small subunit ribosomal RNA", at positions 29 to 507 of the family's 1533-position model. The record is from RNAcentral.
AGCGAACGUUUGCGGCGGGCUUAACACAUGCAAGUCGAACGGGCUGUUCCUUCGGGGGCAGUCAGUGGCGCACGGGUGCGUAACACGUAGGUAAUCAACCCUCUGGUUGGGGAUAACACUUCGAAAGGAGUGCUAAUACCCGGUAUGGCGCAGCGGUCUUCGGAUCGCGGCGAGAAAGACCCGCAAGGGUUGCCAGAGGACGAGCCUGCGGCCCAUCAGCUAGUUGGCGAGGUAACGGCUCACCAAGGCGAAGACGGGUAGCUGGUCUGAGAGGAUGAUCAGCCACACUGGAACUGAGACACGGUCCAGACUCCUACGGGAGGCAGCAGUGGGGAAUAUUGCGCAAUGGGCGAAAGCCUGACGCAGCCACGCCGCGUGAGCGAUGAAGGCCUCGGUCGUAAAGCUCUGUGGGAGGAGAAGAAUAAAGACCUGUGAAGAGCAGGCCUUGACGGUAGUCUCCUUACGCAAGCACCGGCGUAACUCCGUG